UUUUAUCACAGAACUUUUAAUUUAUUCUCAUCAAAAGCACUCUAUUCAACUUAAUUAGGCAUUUUUUUCAAUCAUAUAUCACUGUUAGGUACACACAUGAAAAGAAAACAUAAAUGGGCCAGUUCCAGUGGCUUAGUGGUGAAGUUUGGUGCUCUCCGCUUUGGUGGCCCAGGUUCAGUUCCCAGGCAUGGACCUACACCAUUCAUCUGUCAGUGGCCAUGCUGUAGCAGCGGCUCAUGUACAAAAAGGGGAAGAUUGGCAGUAGAUAUUUGCUCGGGGCAAAUCUUCCUCAGCAAAGAAAGAAAGAAAGAAAGAAAACAUAAGCAAAACUAAUUGCUUAAGUCUCUAAAACUUCUUCACAUUCAGAAUCCAACUCUUCUGAAUCACCUUUACUCUGAGUGGCUGGUGGCCAGGUCAUUUUCAUGUAACAUUGCCCUCUGUGACAUCAAGAGCACAGAUGAUGCUACAUUCCUUCUAAGAGGGCUCCACUACCAUCUCUGGGAUUUUCUUCGGAGCUGCUGACACCCAUUUUGCAAGUUUUGAUUCUGGACUUUCUUGGUCUCACCAGAAGGUGUCAAUGGAAGAUUUACAGACAAGAACCCAGGAGUCCUUCUUCAAAUGGCCCCUAACUGGUUUGUGGCUAGAACAUGGCAGGGCUCAUGUUGUCCGGAAAAGCCACCAGGAAGAACAAUCCCCUUCUGGCACAGGCAGGCAGCAGUACCCACAUCGCGACUGUUACAUCUCCAACAGUCAUUGUGAUGAUGUCACGCCUGGUGAAAUCGCAUCCCGAUUUCAGAGACAGGAACGUGUGGAAAACCUCAAAAGGGAUGAACUUCAGUUGCUGGGUGACUGCGCUCUCGUGUGCUCUGGGCUAACUAGACUCACGCAGUUCUAGAAGCUGUAGGGAGAACCGACUCCCCCUGCUUGGUGGCAGAGGUGGCCUUUGAGCAGCAGCCUGAAGCAUAAAGAGGAAUGCACCACAAAGCCAGGGGAAGGCACUCCGGGCUGAAGGACCAGCCUGUGCCGUACAUGGAAGCAUGAAGAAUCCUGGCACCCCUGGCACCAGGACUCGAACCGGCAUAGGACCCACGACAGGGCAGGCAAUGAACAAAGGGAUGAAUGAAUUCAGCUAGUGGUAACAAACCUAGAACCAGAAGUCAAACCUCCUGACGCUUCCUUCCUGCCUCCCCCAGCCCAUGCUCAAGCUUACCUCUGAUCAAAAGGACAAUCGCCCUUUGUUAUUUACCUGGAAUUCUCUCGGAAUAUUCACCCAGAAUCCUCUUGGGUUGCUCACCCAGAAUCCUGGCUCCUCAUCUCAGAAAGUAGAACUUUCAGAACACCAAUCAAAGGCAUUUUGAGGGCAAAGGCGUGAAAAUCCUCGUUGCUAAGGCAGCUUUGCCAACUUCACUGGAUGAGGGUCUCCAGCUGUGAAAAGGAGCAUAGAAUUAAGACAGCCUUCAGUCCUCAACACCACCUCCAGCCCUGCGUUCCCACAUAAUGGUCACCGGGAGAUAUUAGCAUCUAAAUUAUUUUAAGGAGAUAUAAUAAGAUUCACCCAGCAGGCCAUUAAUGACGAAAGAGAUUAUUACUGGAAAAAAUCCAAGACUGACUUUGAGCAGAGUUGGUUCAUCUAAAUGACCCUUUCCCUGCACCUCAGAUGAUCCUGGUCCCCAGAGAUUAUACAGAUUUGAAAAAAGAAGCUGCCAUGGAACACGCGCACGCUUAUGCAAGAGGGUCUUACGGAAGGAAUCUCUGGAGAAUUAGGGUCAGGAGUGCGUAGCAGCGAGAUAAAUGAGAUGUUCCUUGAAUCGUAAGAAUCCACUGUGGCAGAAUUUACAGGAAGCAUCUCCAGUCUCCAGAUUUGGCAGGCAUCCAGCCAGAGUUGUCAAGUAUUAGAUUAAUUUUAAUUCAAUGCAAAAAACCACAUUAGUGUAGUGUUGCGAUUGAGAGUUGAAACAUACAAAAGCCAAGAGUCCUUGAAGUGAAUCAUUCCAGAGCCUGAGCGUCAUUUCAAGCGUCCAUCAAAAAGGCACGUUCUUCAGAGCAUUCCCCAGCCAUCCGCCACCUUCAAAUCGUACCCACUUAGCCAGGUAAAUGAGCCACUUGGCAGUGAUGGAGCUGUUGAUUAAUGUCACUUCACAGGUCCUGGUCACAGGAGUUAAAGUUCAAACUCCUGACAUGGCAUUCAAGACCCUCCAUGAUCUAGCUUCGAAUGCCCUCCACAACCCCAUCUCUCAGUACAACCCUCCACGUUUUGCAGGCUGCAGCCACACCCGCCCUUUGACCACCAUUGGUAAUCUUCCUGCCACCCUUAACUUGCACUCCUUGCUCAAUCUAUUCCACUCAGAGCCCUGGAAGGGAGCAGCCCAAAAUAUUAUGCCUUACCAGAGUGCCCCCUCCUCCAAGCCCCGGCUUAUUGUUGAUGGGGAGCAGAGUCACAAGUGAUCCGGCACCAGCCCCAAGCCUGCAUUCCUCACUCCGCGAUGCCAAGGCCCUGCAGCUACCCCGACCAGCCUCCUUAGAAGGCAGUUUGGAGACCAUCUCUUGUUCCUUCAGCAGACCCCUUGUGUUCUCAGCUCCCACCAACAAGCAGCUUAUCAAAGUACUCCUUCAUUGUCUCAUCCAAGAAGAUUUCUAAAAACAUGCCCUUUUCUCCAUCAGGUUACAGGUCCAAAGAUGCCCCUUAUACAAGUGCCAUCUGCCCAGCUGCCCCACCCAUAAUCCAGCCCUGGGUGCCUUGGCGGGGGAGGGCUGGCCUGACCCAGCUGGACCUCGUGGCGUCCAGGGGAGCUUGGGGUGGCCUCACCUAAGACUGUGGAACACUAGAAGCAGGGGUGAGCUCAGCAGAAGCCAUGGGGGAGGUCGAGGUCCGAGUGCCCCUGGAGGAGAGUCAGGUAAGCUGUGACUCUAAGAGGAGCAAGAGGGAGGGUGGGCUGAGCACAGUGGUCUUCUUGUCUUCUCCUUGCAGAAGUGAGAGAAAUCUCAGAGGUCACCAAGUCCAAGCUGGAGGAACCCCUAAAGCCUCCACUGGUCCCCUCCAGUGACCAGAAAAGGAGAAGGGCACUCACAUCCAUUGAGACCUACUACGUGCCGUGCACAGGACUAGAUGCUUCACGCACAGUGCCCAGCCACGAUUCCCAACAGCCCUGUGGACUUGAUUCCGUUGUUCCUGAUUUAAGGAUAGGACAGAGUUGAAACUGAGGCUUGGAGAGAUUAAGUGACUUGCCCAGGGCCCCUCUAUUGGAGCCAGGAUUUGACUCCAAAGUCCAUGCUCUUCUCCAAUGCACCCUAAAUUUUUUAGUUAAACACUUAUGAACCACUUACGACGUGUUAAGUUUUGCAUUCGACAUUUUCACUUGCAGUUACCACAUUCAGUCUUCAGGACCACCUGCAAGGUUAGUAUCAUAGUCCAUUUUACAGAUGAGGAACCAAGGUCCAGAAAAAUCAAGCACUGCGUGCAAGCAGUAAGUGGUGGAGCCAAGAUUUGAACCCAGAUUUGUUGAUCAAGUCCAGCCCUCCCCCCAUGAUUCCCGAGCUGAUGGAAAGCAGCUCACGAUCUCACAGCAGAACAGCCUAAAUUGGAGAAGCUCCGACUGAAAAUUACAAAACACUUGGAAGGGAGAUUACAUGGCUGUCAGCCAGCUCAGGUGGGUAUUGGAAUCCAAGACUCAGAAGAACCGAAUGACACAGAUGCCCAUUCUUAAACUAGCAUUCCAGAUGGAAGGGGCUAUUUGGCCCCCAUGAGUAAUAUGCUGCUAUGAGAAGGGCAGGUGAAGGUAUGAGCAAGUCAGCUUUCCUACUUGGGUCUCAAUUGUCCCAUCUGUGUAAGAGCUGGGGGAAAAUGAGCCCCGAGCUUGGCAGGAAAUAACCAAGUAAUGUGCCCCAUUCUCCCUUCCCACAUCCAUGGCAGACAUUGCUAAUGGAACAGUACAUCUUUCCUCCCAACACAGCCUCCAGAUAGUUCUCAACAGCGUUCCCAGCAAUCGCUACAGACUAUUUGAUUAUUAAACUAUUUGCCAGCCCUAGAUAUGCUCUGUUUCCGAGUAGACGUGGAAGUAGACAGCAUAUUCACCUUUCAGCCCCGAGGGCCGGCUGCAUCUUUCUCACAUGGCAGCUCUGACUCUGACCCUCCUCUUUCACUUCUAAGAACAAUCCUGAUUACAUCAGGCCACCUGGAUAACCCAGGAUACUCUCUGCACUUCAAGAUCUUUAAUUUAAUCACACCCGCAAAGUCACUUCUGCCACAUAAAGUGACAUAUUCACAGGUCCUGAGGAUUAGAACGUGGACAUCUUUGGGGGCCACGAUUCUGCCCAUCACAGAGACCUCAUGGGAUUGUGUCUAAGGAUUAGAUGGAACAACGCAUGUAAACAGCUGAAACCCAAUGCCCGGCACUUGGAAAGCAACACCAAGUGAGACAGCACUGGCCUCCCACAGGCCCUGGCAUAAAGUGGGCUCCCAGGAAACGUUCCAGGAAAGGCUGAGGAAGGGCACCAUCGUGCAGCUCUCAGGGAGCAGGCACAGCAUUGGGCAUGGGUCCCACAGCUCCGACUCUCAGCACAGAGGUGGGGCCCCCCGGCUACCUUCACAGUUGGUCCAAGAUUAUCCACCGUCAGCCCACUGGGCUGGGCAGGGCUGGGGAGGCUGAGCAGCGUGGCCCCCGCCUCCUGCUCCCUGUUAAGAUGCCAGUCUUCUGGAGGAAAUGUUCGACGUGAACAAUUAACCUGCAUGUGCAAGAGCCACGCUUGGAGCAGAGCAGGAACUUGGUCUGCAUUUCUUUCUCUGCCCAAAUGCAUGACUGGGUUGUCACCCACUGGCCUGGAAAAUUUCCGUUUAGCAGCAUCACUCUCUUCUGUUGGGAGAACUAGCCCGGGGCAGAGACUCGACACACCUUUGCUCUCUGAGCUCCACUCAAUGCAUCUUCAUGAGACUGAAGAGCAAGGGUAGAAACCAGAAACCCAGAAUACCUUCACUGCUUCCUCUUGCAAUAUUGGGGCUGUGGGGCAGGCUAACGUAUUGAGUGGUUGAGUUGCAAGUACUCUCCUUCUGCUCUCCUGUCUCACGUGGGCCAUGACGGUGGCCAGGCCCUUCAGGCCCCCUCCUUUCCUUGGUGAGGUUUGUUUGACAACAAGAGGUCCAGAAAGGGGGCAGAGGUUGCCAGCAAAACAAUUCCCUUCCUGGUUUUUGUUUCUUAAACCCUGAACUCUUUGAAGAAGAGAGUCUGGGGUUAUCUCCCUGCCCAUAUUAUCCAGCCUCACUUCUUUCCAGUUCCGUCACACAAGGUGCAUGCAUACGUAGACAUAGACACACACACAUCAACACACACAAUGCAUACACACGCACACAUGUACGUGUGUACACAUAUGUGUUCGUACCCACACAUGCAUAUGCAUGUGUGCACACAUAUUCGUGUGUGAUAGUGCACAUGUAUGUGUGUGCAUGUAUACAUAUGCACACGUGCAUGCAGGUUCGUGUGCGCAUGCAUGUACAAACACACAGCCACAGGUGUGUGGGCAUGCAUGCAUGCACAUAUAUGCAUAUUGAACUGCUUCAGUUCCUGAACUCAUGCUUUCUCCUCUCCCACCUCACACUGCCUGCCCCCAAGGCCUUUAUAACUGCUGCAUCCCCUUUCUGGAACAUUCUUUACCCUCUACCCUUUUUUACCUAGCUACCUCUUCAUCUUAUACCAGGUCCACACUUGAACUUUGAGCACGUGGUAUUGUAACUGCCUGUUUACUCGUCUGCCUGAGCAACAAAAUACACAAGUCUAGCCGGCUCACCUUUAUAUUCCUGGUACUUAGCAUGGGCUUCUUAUGACUGUUUGUGAAAUGAAAGGGUGAGUAGAUGGAUGAAUGGAU
This 5856-nucleotide long non-coding RNA is filed under the name Equus caballus (horse). RNAcentral's name for it is "lncRNA (ENSECAG00000053910.1)". The record is from RNAcentral. Lineage: Eukaryota; Metazoa; Chordata; Mammalia; Perissodactyla; Equidae.